AAGAGCCCGGAGAUGGAUUCUGAGACACGAAUCCAGGCCCUACGGGGCGCAGCAGGCGCGAAAACUUUACAAUGCGAGAAAUCGUGAUAAGGGAACCCCGAGUGCCCGUAAAUUCGGGCUGUCCAUCAGUGUAAAAAACUGGUGAAGAAAGGGCCGGGCAAGACCGGUGCCAGCCGCCGCGGUAAUACCGGCGGCUCGAGUGGUGGCCACUAUUACUGGGCUUAAAGCGUCCGUAGCUUGGUUGUUAAGUCUCCUGGGAAAUCCAUCGGCUCAACCGAUGGGCGUUCAGGGGAUACUGGCAACCUAGGGACCGGGAGAGGUGAGAGGUACUCCAGGGGUAGGAGUGAAAUCCUGUAAUCCUUGGGGGACCACCUGUGGCGAAGGCGUCUCACUAGAACGGCUCCGACAGUGAGGGACGAAAGCUGGGGGAGCAAACCGGAUUAGAUACCCGGGUAGUCCCAGCCGUAAACGAUGCGCGUUAGGUGUAUCGGUGACCACGAGUCACCGAGGUGCCGAAGGGAAACCGUGAAACGUGCCGCCUGGG
This 544-nucleotide ribosomal RNA is filed under the name uncultured archaeon. Its description in RNAcentral is "bacterial SSU rRNA". It matches the Rfam family "Archaeal small subunit ribosomal RNA", at positions 284 to 832 of the family's 1478-position model. The record is from RNAcentral.